AUUGAACGCUGGCGGCAUGCUUUACACAUGCAAGUCGAACGGCAGCACGAAAGAGCUUGCUCUUUUGGUGGCGAGUGGCGAACGGGUGAGUAAUGCAUCGGAACGUACCGAGUAAUGGGGGAUAACUGUCCGAAAGGAUAGCUAAUACCGCAUACGCUUUGAGAAGGAAAGUGGGGGCUCUUCGGACCUCACGUUAUUCGAGCGGCCGAUGUCUGAUUAGCUAGUUGGUGGGGUAAAGGCCUACCAAGGCGACGAUCAGUAGCGGGUCUGAGAGGAUGAUCCGCCACACUGGGACUGAGACACGGCCCAGACUCCUACGGGAGGCAGCAGUGGGGAAUUUUGGACAAUGGGCGCAAGCCUGAUCCAGCCAUGCCGCGUGUCUGAAGAAGGCCUUCGGGUUGUAAAGGACUUUUGUUAGGGAGGAAAAGGAUAGUGUUAAUACCAUUAUCUGCUGACGGUACCUAAAGAAUAAGCACCGGCUAACUACGUG
This 490-nucleotide ribosomal RNA is filed under the name uncultured bacterium. RNAcentral's name for it is "partial 16S ribosomal RNA". It matches the Rfam family "Bacterial small subunit ribosomal RNA", at positions 30 to 507 of the family's 1533-position model. The record is from RNAcentral.